This 1339-nucleotide long non-coding RNA is filed under the name Equus asinus (donkey). Its description in RNAcentral is "lncRNA (ENSEASG00005035076.1)". Lineage: Eukaryota; Metazoa; Chordata; Mammalia; Perissodactyla; Equidae. The record is from RNAcentral.
UUUUCCUUGUCUCUGCCUCCCUAGGAUUCUAAACUGUCACCCCAGCCCAUUAUCAUUCUUUAACACCUUAUUCAAAGUCUAACUGUUUUCUCCUUAGUCACAGCUUGUUGUCUUCUUCGUCCUCCUGCUGCUGUUUCAUGAGAUAUAAACGCAGCCGUGGAUCCCUCCUCUUCAAGUCAAUGGGCUUCCAUGCCUUCUCUCUUCUCUCUGGCUUCAGCUAAUAGGAAGCCCUAGCAAAAGAUCUGAAGGAGAGAAGUGAGUGAAGUCAGCGUAUUCAUUCUUCUGGGUCCUUCCACUUCAAGGCUGCCUCCGACUGAUUGCGUCCCUAACCAAAGAAAAAGAAGAGAAGGAAGAAAUCAGAGAAGAAAAGGAGAGCAAGGACAAGAGGAAAGAGAGCGAACAGAAGAAAUUAAAGAAGAAAGGGAGGGAGGGAGGGAGAAAUGGAAGGAGAGACACAGGGAGGCACGGAAGGAGCGACUGAGAAAGGAAGGCAGGGAGCAAGAGAGGUGGGGCAAGGAUCUUACUGGAGCUCCAUUCCAAACAGGAGGAGGAGAGCUGCUUCAGGUGGAGCUGGGGGGGAUCUGGGUCCCCAGAUGCUUUGCCUUUUGUUCUCUUGCAGCACCUGAGGCAACUUUAAGAAUUUUAACACUCUUGAGAAGACAGGAAAUAACCCUUGUUCAGAGCUACAGCAGCCUUCCAGCUUUGCAAGUGUUAUUACUCACUCACUGGGUGUGCAAACAGGGAGAGCACUGGGCAAUACCCCGUGAUACUGAGACCUGUUUGCAGGAGUGUUCUACUCUCUGAGCCACACUUGGAAUCACUUACCUGCUGCAUUUGUUAGGUUUCCUAUUUUAAAAUUAAUAAAAACACAAGGAUAUACACUCACCUCAUGAUACUAGGGCUGGGCUGGAGAAGAAAUAGAAUUAGACGUGAUAAAAAUUAUAAAUUCUGUAAUAUAGCAUCUACGGGAAAAUCCCAUACUGGAAAAAAUGGUUGUCUUUUGUGGUGAGGAAUACGUAAGUGAGUAUUUUUAAUCAUGCUCAGUUGAGGGGAUAAACCCCAAUCAACCGAAUUCCUAAACACUGGAUAAUUGUAGAAAAGUAAAGAGAAACAGAAAUAAAUCUCAAAUAACUGAAUUAACUGCUGACUUAGCUGAAUCAUCACCUGAAUAAUCCUAGGAUGCUGCCAUUUUUAGAAAAUGUGUAAGAAAGUUUUCCUGGAGUCCAGUUACCUAAGGGUCUGAGAAGUUCCCUGGAAAGAAGUCAUUCCAGGAACGUGAAUUCAGUUUAUACAACACCCUGCAAGGUGAGUAGCUGGCCAGUCAGGGGUGUGGGGGCGA